This is a long non-coding RNA of Homo sapiens (human), 148 nucleotides long. RefSeq lists it as uncharacterized. The transcript has 2 exons. Lineage: Eukaryota; Metazoa; Chordata; Mammalia; Primates; Hominidae. The record is from RefSeq and is a predicted model, not a curated record.
CUAGAAUCUCACAUGUUAAGAAGAUUGAACUCCAUCUGCACACAGGAAAAUGAACGCUGAGCUCAAGAAGAUAUCUCCUCUGUUUACCUUCAGAAAGAACAAGGCAAGGGUUUACUCUGAGUAUUAAAUGUGCAUUUUUAUAGGUUUA